This is a long non-coding RNA of Pelmatolapia mariae (spotted tilapia), 847 nucleotides long. RefSeq lists it as uncharacterized. The record is from RefSeq and is a predicted model, not a curated record. The transcript has 3 exons. Lineage: Eukaryota; Metazoa; Chordata; Actinopteri; Cichliformes; Cichlidae.
AAUAUUUUGUACUUGUAAAUCGGUUUUGUACUUGUAAAAAAGAUUUGUAUGCGUAAAAAAAAUUUGUGUGUGCGUAAAAAAGAUUUGUAUCUGUAAAAAAGAUUUGUGUGUGCGUAAAAAAGAUUUGUAUCUGUAAAAAAGAUUUGUGUGUGCGUAAAAAAGAUUUGUAUCUGUAAAAAAGAUUUGUGUGUGCGUAAAAAAGAUUUGUAUCUGUAAAAAAGAUUUGUGCGUGUGUAAAACAGAUUUGUGCGUGUGUAAAAAAGAUUUGUGUGUGGACUUAGCCAAAAAACCCCUGCAAGUUACAAGUACGAAUUUUGACCCUAUUUUUCUUCCUUUAAGCUGAUUGGUCAAUGUCAUGUCAAUCACAAAUUAAACAAUCCAAUCAGAGAACAGAUGGGCUUGGCUGUCGGGGGGGAUGCUUUACGGACCUUCAGGUCCUGGAAGGGUAACACAGUUUGAAGAUGGAGGACAGCGGUGGCGCUUCUGCAGCGCAGGAGCCAAAGACUGCAAUAGAGAAGGCUAUACUGAAUCUUGUGGGAAUUCUGUCAACUUCCCAGUCUGAUAUUAGGAGUGGAACUGCAACCACAUCUGUUACAGCGACAGUGCCUCAGCAAACCCCAAGAGUGAGCACCCAAAUAGAAAUGCAAAGGUCAUUUCCAGCAAUGUUUCAAAGAAGGCAAUCCAAAGGAAAGAGGCCUUUCCCAGCUCCUAGUAAUGUCAUACAUGCAGUUCGCAACAUUCAGUUGCAAUUCUGUCUUUUGCCUGAUUCCACGACAAAAACCCCAAAGAAUGAAAUACGGCUUCUUCAAGCUGGACUUGGAAGGCGAACUCUCAGCAUAGCUGACAA